AUUGAACGCUGGCGGCAGGCUUAACACAUGCAAGUCGAGCGGAGAUGAGGUGCUUGCACCUUAUCUUAGCGGCGGACGGGUGAGUAAUGCUUAGGAAUCUGCCUAUUAGUGGGGGACAACAUUCCGAAAGGAAUGCUAAUACCGCAUACGUCCUACGGGAGAAAGCAGGGGAUCUUCGGACCUUGCGCUAAUAGAUGAGCCUAAGUCGGAUUAGCUAGUUGGUGGGGUAAAGGCCUACCAAGGCGACGAUCUGUAGCGGGUCUGAGAGGAUGAUCCGCCACGCUGGGGCGGAGACACGGCCCAGACUCAUACGGGAGGCAGCAGUGGGGAAUAUUGGACAAUGGGGGGAACCCUGAUCCAGCCAUGCCGCGUGGGUGAAGAAGGCCUUAUGGUUGUAAAGCACUUUAAGCGAGGAGGAGGCUACUGAGACUAAUACUCUUGGAUAGUGGACGUUACUCGCAGAAUAAGCACCGGCUAACUCUGUGCCAGCAGCCGCCGUAA
This 501-nucleotide ribosomal RNA is filed under the name uncultured bacterium. RNAcentral's name for it is "partial 16S ribosomal RNA". It matches the Rfam family "Bacterial small subunit ribosomal RNA", at positions 30 to 523 of the family's 1533-position model. The record is from RNAcentral.